AGAGUUUGAUCCUGGCUCAGGACGAACGCUGGCGGCGUGCUUAACACAUGCAAGUCGAACGGUGAAGUCCCUUCGGGGGCGGAUCAGUGGCGAACGGGUGAGUAACACGUGGGCAAUCUGCCCCUCACUGUGGGAUAACUCCGGGAAACCGGGGCUAAUACCGCAUAUGAAGCCUGGCGGCAUCGCCGGGUUUGGAAAGUUUUUCGGUGAGGGAUGAGCCCGCGGCCUAUCAGCUUGUUGGUGAGGUAAUGGCUCACCAAGGCGACGACGGGUAGCCGGCCUGAGAGGGCGACCGGCCACACUGGGACUGAGACACGGCCCAGACUCCUACGGGAGGCAGCAGUGGGGAAUAUUGGGCAAUGGGCGAAAGCCUGACCCAGCGACGCCGCGUGCGGGAUGAAGGCCUUCGGGUUGUAAACC
This 420-nucleotide ribosomal RNA is filed under the name uncultured bacterium. RNAcentral describes it as "bacterial SSU rRNA". It matches the Rfam family "Bacterial small subunit ribosomal RNA", at positions 8 to 431 of the family's 1533-position model. The record is from RNAcentral.